UGUAGGAGCUGCCGCAGGCUGCGAUCUCUUGAUCUUGCUUUAUUAAAAUCAAAAGAUCGCAGCCUGCGGCAGCUCCUACA
RNAcentral lists this unclassified non-coding RNA (80 nucleotides) under Pseudomonas umsongensis. Lineage: Bacteria; Pseudomonadati; Pseudomonadota; Gammaproteobacteria; Pseudomonadales; Pseudomonadaceae. The record is from RNAcentral.